GUGUCAGCCGCCGCGGUAAGACAGAGGGGGCAAGCGUUGUCCGGACUGACUGGGCGUAAAGCGCGCGCAGGCGGAGGCGGGCGUCGGUGCGGAAAGGUCGCCGCUUAACGGCGGAGAGCGUACCGAUACGCCGCUUCUGGAGCGCGGGCGAGGGUGGUGGAAUUGCCGGUGUAGUGGUGAAAUGCGUAGAGAUCGGCAGGAACACCCGUGGCGCAAGCGGCCACCUAGCCCGUUGCUGACGCUGAGGCGCGACAGCGUGGGGAGCGAACUGGAUUAGAAACCCGUGUAGUCC
Molecule: ribosomal RNA, 292 nt
Filed under: uncultured bacterium
Lineage: Bacteria
Description: partial 16S ribosomal RNA
Rfam family: Bacterial small subunit ribosomal RNA
Source: RNAcentral